RNAcentral lists this ribosomal RNA (300 nucleotides) under uncultured Pseudoalteromonas sp. RNAcentral's name for it is "bacterial SSU rRNA". It matches the Rfam family "Bacterial small subunit ribosomal RNA", at positions 114 to 411 of the family's 1533-position model. The record is from RNAcentral. Lineage: Bacteria; Pseudomonadati; Pseudomonadota; Gammaproteobacteria; Alteromonadales; Pseudoalteromonadaceae.
UGCUUGGGAAUAUGCCUUUAGGUGGGGGACAACAGUUGGAAACGACUGCUAAUACCGCAUAAUGUCUACGGACCAAACGUGGGGGACCGUUUUCGGGCCUCACGUCCUAAAGAUUGGCCCAAGUGGGAUUAGCUAGUUGGUUUAGGUAAAUGCUUACCAAGGCAAUUAUCAGUAGUUGGUCUGAGAGGAUGAUCAGCCACACUGGGACUGAGACACGGCCCAGACUCCUACGGGAGGCAGCAGUGAGGAAUUUUUCGCAAUGGGCGCAAGCCUGACGAAGCAAUGCCGCGUGAAGGAUGA